AGUGGCGGACGGGUGAUUAACGCGUGAGAAUCUGCCUUGGGGUCGGGGACAACCACUGGAAACGGUGGCUAAUACCGGAUAAGCCGAUUGGUGAAAGAUUUAUUGCCCGAAGAGGAGCUCGCGUCUGAUUAGCUAGUUGGUGAGGUAAGAGCUCACCAAGGCAGCGAUCAGUACUGGUCUGAGAGGACGAUCAGCCACACUGGGACUGAGACACGGCCCAGACUCCUACGGGAGGCAGCAGUGGGGAAUUUUCCGCAAUGGGCGAAAGCCUGACGGAGCAAGACCGCGUGAGGGAGGAAGGCUCUUGGGUUGUAAACCUCUUUUCUCAGGGAAGAAGCUCUGACGGUACCUGAGGAAUCAGCCUCGGCUAACUCCGUGCCAGCAGCCGCGGUAAUACGGAGGAGGCAAGCGUUAUCCGGAAUUAUUGGGCGUAAAGCGUCCGCAGGUGGCAAUUCAAGUCUGCUGUCAAAGCACGGGGCUUAACUCCGUUAAGGCAGUGGAAACUGAAUAGCUAGAGUGCCGUAGGGGUAGAGGGAAUUCCCGGUGUAGCGGUGAAAUGCGUAGAGAUCGGGAAGAACAUCGGUGGCGAAAGCGCUCUACUGGACGGCAACUGACACUCAGGGACGAAAGCUAGGGGAGCGAAUGGGAUUAGAUACCCC
Molecule: ribosomal RNA, 659 nt
Filed under: uncultured bacterium
Lineage: Bacteria
Description: bacterial SSU rRNA
Rfam family: Bacterial small subunit ribosomal RNA
Source: RNAcentral